Non-coding RNA from Zootermopsis nevadensis, 82 nucleotides. The record is from Rfam. Lineage: Eukaryota; Metazoa; Arthropoda; Insecta; Blattodea; Termopsidae.
GUGGAUGUAAUGAUGACAUUAUAGUUCAAAUGACUGCUGUGAUAUCUAACUACGUCUUUCGCUCCUAUCUGAUGGCAUCCCU